AGGAGAGGAGCGGUGAUGGAGGAGAGGAGAGGAAAGCCUGUCUUUUGCUGUGAAAAUCAGAGGAGGCGGGGUUGAGUGCUUCACUUCAGCCCUAGACCUGCACCCUCCGUAGUGAGCGAGCAAGUUCUCUUACCGACUCGUGCUGCUGAGCUGUGUGACGUCCUCAGUGCAGACGUUGCGUCAGCAGCCCGGAGCUGAGUGUAGAUCAGCCGGCAGUUAAACCCACUGUCCUUCCAUAUGUAAGAAAAGGUGGGUUUUUUUGCCCACCCCCACUCUUCAGAAAUCUGCUGCCCAGUUGCCAUGGAGACAGAAAUACCCCGGCAGCCAGGUGUUGCUAUGGUAACACCUGGGAAGAGAAUGAGAGGAAGAACAGGAGGAUGAAAGGAGAGAGGGAAUGCUGAAUCACUAAAAAGCUUGCGCUUUAUUCGCUUUAUUGCACGUCAUAAUCGGCAAAAUACACAUAUGUAUUUAUUCAUUUGUUUAUUUAAUUAUUAUAAAUAUGCACUGUGACAAUAAUUCUCAACCAAUGUGUCCAUUACCCCCAGUCGAAAUAUAAUAUAUCCAAUUUAAAGACCACACUUUUCUUUUGUUUGUUUCUUACCUACUGAUCAGGCUCAAAAUUAUGACCACCUCCAAGUUCCUACACACAUCAGCUCCACUGAUCAUAUAGCACACUUUUUAGUUCUGUUAUUAUAGACUGUGGUUCUUAGUAUUUUUUCUCAAAAUACUGUAUUAUCUUCCUUAGUGGCACUGCUAGACUGGAAAUGAUUCACCAAUCUGUUUGCAGGUAUCGUCCUGAGGGCAGCAUCCUGAGGGCAAUGUUCUGUGAAGGACUAGUGGAUGAUCAACAUAAAUCAACAUAAAUUGUGCAGUAACAGAUGAGCUUCAGAGUGCUAAUAAAGUGUACAGCGAGGGAACACAGUGUUUAAAAACACUGAAACAAGGUGUUCAUAAUGUUAAGUUUGAUCAGUGUAUAUUCACAUAUUCACUUUUUUUGUUUGUUUUGUUUUCUGUGUGUGGGCAGGAGUUUCUGCGUAUACCUGCAGCUGCUCAUCCUCCAUCAGUUCUGAAAAGUGCGCUCAAACCUGGCUGUCAUGUUGGGAAUGGUUGAGGAAAGUAAACAGGGUCUUGCUAUUCCAUGACAUCACAGGCUUCCUCUGCUCCCCUCCCUCCAAGCAUCUGGUAAAAGAUCGGACUAGAAAAGCAGGUUGUCUUCCAGGAAGGAACUUGAACCUCGAUCGAGCGUCAGUGUGAGCCGAAGAAAGAGAGAGAGAGAGGUGAAGUUUGUGGAGGGUGAACAGGUCCGGCUGCAGGGAAAUGUUCUGUUCUGUUUUUUUUUUUUUUUUUUUUUUUGUAGUUCUUUGUGUAGCGAUAGCACUGAAAAACAGAACCAGAUGGAACUCAUUUGUUGUAGUUGUCCUCUCCAAGACUUUUCUGCUCUGUCUGGCAUUCACUCGCUGAUGUCUGAUAUGAGUUUACAGUAUGUGUGGUGUGUGUAUAUGAGACUAUACUACUAUGGAAUUUUAUUUUAGCUUUUAUUUAACAUUUUUUAUGGUCUUCAUUAGGAAUCUUAAUGUAGAUUCACUGCUAAUGAAAUAGUUUCAAAAAUAGUUGCAUUAGAAAAAAAGUGUGGGAUUGUAAUGCUAUUCAGAAGGAAAUUAAAUGGGCAAUAUUUAUUCAACUACACAUACAGAAGUAGUCUAUAAUGCAUGUGUUAUGCAACAUGUCAAAUGUCUCAGCAUGUAAUAGAGUUUUCCAUAGAGGCUCCUAAGGGUGUCAGGGAUCGGCAGAACUAUGCCCAUGGCUCUUGUAUCUUUAAGGGAAGCUCUUUAGCAGUAUGUGGAUGAGGAUUGUCCUGUUGGAAUAAGUACAUAGGAGUGUGUGUUCAGAAAGGUUGGACACCUGUUACAGAAGCUUAUUAAUGCACCAUUGGGCUGUCAAGUGUGUAUAUUAUUUUGUGUGUAUAGAAUGCCUAGAUUUUUUUUUCUCCAAAAGGUCUCAAUUUUUUUUUCCACAAUUGUUACACAUUUUCACUCGGGGACGGAUCUGACGAUUUGGGUGGCCAUGUCACAGUAUCUGUGUCUACUGCAGCAUUAUGUAAAUAAGCAUUGUCCUUUUGAAAUAUUGUGUGUACUCAAAAAUUUAUGUAAUUUUGGGCUGUCAAAGUGCCUGUAAUCAAAACCAAAGGUGAUCUAAUACUGUACACAAUUGCUAAGGUAAAAGGAAGGCAACAUUAGAUAACCAACCUGUUUAGAUUAGAGGGGUAAAGAAACAUCUCCUGUGUGUAUAGAAGGUAUGUUAAAAGGUACCUAAGAUUAUUAUGAAUAUUCUUAAUUAUCCAAAGUCCUGUGCUUUUAAACCUUUUUGCAUUAAACUGUCUUACAAUGACAAUAGUAUUGUUUAUGGCAAUUAUCUUUAGGACAAUUUAUCAUUAGAACAAAAACAUUCAUUGUGACAGGCCUACUGUAAAUACUUUGCACUGCUG
This is a long non-coding RNA of Astyanax mexicanus (Mexican tetra), 2485 nucleotides long. RefSeq lists it as uncharacterized. Lineage: Eukaryota; Metazoa; Chordata; Actinopteri; Characiformes; Acestrorhamphidae. The record is from RefSeq and is a predicted model, not a curated record. The transcript is spliced from 3 exons.